Molecule: non-coding RNA, 45 nt
Filed under: Schistosoma curassoni
Lineage: Eukaryota; Metazoa; Platyhelminthes; Trematoda; Strigeidida; Schistosomatidae
Source: RNAcentral
AUCCAGCUGACGAGUGCCAAAUAGGACGAAAUGCGCGUCCUGGAU